CGUCGUCGUUGUCGAUCAUCGGGAACGUGCAGCAGCAAGGGACACGUAUCACUUACGAUCUGGCGAAUAAUCUUAUCGGAUUGUCAGCGAAUCAAUGCUAAAGGCAGUGGAUGAUGAUGAUUAAUAGGUUUUACAGUUCUAUCAGUAAAACUCUUAUUAGUUCUUGUUUCUUUAAUAUGGAUUACAAAAUCUUAAGUGUGAAUGUUUCCUUUAUCUUUUUAUUUAAUUAAUCGGUAGUUAUUUUCGGCUGUUUAUCGAUUAAUAAAUAGGAUUAGUAUAAAUUUGAAAAUGCUGUCUGAGGGAGAAGCUUUUAGUUAUUUGUUUGAUAGUUUCUUGUCUUUGUGAGAAAGAGCAUGUCAAUUUUAUAUAAAAGCAGGGUCUUAUUGUAACAAAAGAAAAGUCUUUAAAACACUUUUGUUGUGGCCCCUAUCUUUUAUAUUUUAAACUGUUGUCUGAAUCUACCAACUGUAUGAAACAGUCAAUGUGAAAGUAAAAGCAUGAUUAUUCAGAGAUUCUCGGUGUGGGAUUCUUAGCGAAAUAUAAAAACUCGUCUCUUAAUUUUUAACUAAAAAAGUUAAGAACCAUCUCUUAAAACUCUUAUUUAAGAGUCGGUUCUUAACUUUUUUAGUUAAAAGUUAAGAGACGGGUUCUUAUAUUCCGCUAAGAACCCUACUUUAAGACCAUUUUUAACGCAAGUGCUUACGCCCAAUGCUUAGGUAAUUAAUGAUUUUUUAAAAAGAAAAAUGGGAUUAAUUAGAAAACACGGCGCUUAAAGAGGGAGUAGAAGAAUCGGUGCUAAAUGGACAUGUGUUGGGCAAUGGUUACAUCUCUCUCUCUCCCUCUCGCACAAAACGCAUCGGUUUCUCUCUUUCGUCGUCGUAGACGAAACCGCGUCUCUCCACCUCUCCUCGUCGAAUCCGCCGGUGCUUCUUGUUUUCUCACCGAUCGGUUGGAGCCGUCGGCAUUUGUGUCGGUGGAAAGCUCGUAUCUGUCGGUGGUCUCGCCGAUCGUGUCCUAUUUGAUCGCCGACGACGCGUCUCUCAAGCUACAACGACGAGACCAUGUACACCCCCGAGGAGCUGACGACGCCCGUCGUCUCCGGAGCUAGCCAAGGAAGCGGCGAGUAUUUCUCCAGCAUCGGAGUCGGAACUCCGGCGAAGGAGAUGUUCAUGGUGCUCGACACCGGAAGCGACAUAAACUGGAUCCAGUGCCAGCCUUGCUCCGACUGCUACCAACAAUCCGACCCGGUUUUCGACCCGGCUUCGUCCUCCACGUUCAAGUCUCUCUCUUGCUCGGCCCCACAGUGCGGUUCUCUAGAAGUUUCCGCUUGUCGCUCGGACAAGUGUCUCUACCAAGUUAGUUACGGAGACGGAUCUUUCACCGUUGGAGAUUACGCUACCGAUACGGUGACGUUUGGAACCAACGGUAAAGUAAACGACGUCGCUUUGGGAUGUGGGCACGAUAACGAAGGUCUUUUCACGGGAGCGGCCGGUUUACUCGGUUUAGGAGGUGGAGCUUUGUCUAUGACUAAUCAGAUUAAAGCGACGUCGUUCUCCUACUGCCUCGUUGAUCGUGACUCGGGGAAGUCCUCGAGUCUCGACUUCAACUCGGUCCAAGCCGGAACCGGAGACGCGACGGCUCCGCUUCUCCGCAACAGCAAGAUCGACACUUUCUACUACGUCGGACUCAGCGGGUUCAGCGUCGGCGGUCAGCAAGUCUCCAUCCCUUCGUCGGUGUUCGCCGUCGACGCUUCGGGAGCCGGAGGAGUGAUCUUGGACUGUGGAACCGCCGUGACUCGUCUCCAGACUCAGGCCUACAACUCGCUGCGCGACGCGUUUGUUAAACUCACGGCGAAUCUCAAGAAGGGGACGUCGAGCAUCUCACUCUUCGACACUUGCUACGACUUCUCGUCUCUCUCCACCGUGAAAGUCCCGACGGUGGCGUUUCAUUUCACCGGUGGUAAGUCGAUUGAUUUGCCGGCGAAGAAUUACUUGAUCCCUGUGGAUGACGCCGGAACGUUCUGCUUUGCUUUUGCUCCGACGUCGUCUUCUUUGUCGAUCAUCGGGAACGUGCAGCAGCAAGGGACACGUAUCACUUACGAUCUGGCGAAUAAUCUUAUCGGAUUGUCAGCGAAUCAAUGCUAAAAGCAGUGGAUGAUGAUGAUUAAUAGGUUUUACAGUUCUAUCAGUAAAACUCUUAUUAGUUCUUGUUUCUUUAAUAUGGAUUACAAAAUCUUAAGUGUGAAUGUUUCCUUUAUCUUUUUAUUUAAUUAAUCGGUAGUUAUUUUCGGC
RNAcentral lists this long non-coding RNA (2291 nucleotides) under Brassica napus (rape). RNAcentral's name for it is "long non-coding RNA (BNAP_LNC010352)". The stretch from base 535 to 659 matches the Rfam family "MIR9563 microRNA precursor family". Lineage: Eukaryota; Viridiplantae; Streptophyta; Magnoliopsida; Brassicales; Brassicaceae. The record is from RNAcentral.